UACGAAGGGAGCUAGCGUUGUUCGGAAUCACUGGGCGUAAAGCGCGCGUAGGCGGCGAUACAAGUCAGGGGUGAAAUACCUGGGCUCAACCCAGGAACUGCCUCUGAAACUGUAUUGCUUGAGUGUCGGAGGGGAUAGCGGAAUUUCUAAUGUAGCGGUGAAAUGCGUAGAUAUUAGAAGGAACACCGAUGGCGAAGGCAGCUAUCUGGACGACAACUGACGCUGAGGCGCGAAAGCGUGGGGAUCAAAC
Molecule: ribosomal RNA, 250 nt
Filed under: uncultured bacterium
Lineage: Bacteria
Description: partial 16S ribosomal RNA
Rfam family: Bacterial small subunit ribosomal RNA
Source: RNAcentral